This 797-nucleotide ribosomal RNA is filed under the name uncultured methanogenic archaeon. RNAcentral describes it as "bacterial SSU rRNA". It matches the Rfam family "Archaeal small subunit ribosomal RNA", at positions 156 to 946 of the family's 1478-position model. The record is from RNAcentral. Lineage: Archaea; Methanobacteriati; Methanobacteriota.
AUAGGCAAUUUUUUCCUGUAAUGGUUUUUUGUUUAAUGUUUUUUUUCGCCUAAGGAUGGGUCUGCGGCCGAUUAGGUAGUUGGUUAGGUAAUGGCUUACCAAGCCUUUGAUCGGUACGGGUUGUGAGAGCAAGAGCCCGGAGAUGGAACCUGAGACAAGGUUCCAGGCCCUACGGGGUGCAGCAGGCGCGAAACCUCCGCAAUGUGAGAAAUCGCGACGGGGGGAUCCCAAGUGCCAUUCUUAACGGGAUGGCUUUUCUUUAGUGUAAAGAGCUUUUGGAAUAAGAGCUGGGCAAGACCGGUGCCAGCCGCCGCGGUAACACCGGCAGCUCUAGUGGUAGCAAUUUUUAUUGGGCCUAAAGCGUCCGUAGCCGGUUUAAUAAGUCUCUGGUGAAAUCCUGUAGCUUAACUAUGGGAAUUGCUGGAGAUACUAUUAGACUUGAGACCGGGAGAGGUUAGAGGUACUCCCAGGGUAGAGGUGAAAUUCUGUAAUCCUGGGAGGACCGCCUGUUGCGAAGGCGUCUAACUGGAACGGUUCUGACGGUGAGGGACGAAAGUUAGGGGCGCGAACCGGAUUAGAUACCCGGGUAGUCCUAACUGUAAACGAUGCGGACUUGGUGUUGGGGUGGCUUUGAGCUGCUUCAGUGCCGAAGGGAAGCUGUUAAGUCCGCCGCCUGGGAAGUACGGUCGCAAGACUGAAACUUAAAAGGAAUUGGCGGGGGAGCACCACCAACACGUGGAGCCUGCGGNUUUAAUUGGAUUUCAACGCCGGACAUCUCACCCAGAGGCGACAGCUGU